This 1480-nucleotide long non-coding RNA is filed under the name Struthio camelus australis. RNAcentral describes it as "lncRNA (ENSSCUG00000011667.1)". Lineage: Eukaryota; Metazoa; Chordata; Aves; Struthioniformes; Struthionidae. The record is from RNAcentral.
CUUCUCCAUGCAUGUCUGUAGGGUAAAUCCAUGAAAGUCCCGAAACCCUCGUCCUAUGAAACAACUUCUAUUUCUGUCAAAGAUACUUAUCAUCUGAAUUUUGAAUUUAGCAUUUUAUAAUUGCCCAGGUCUAUGGUUUUUCAGAUUGUCCAUGUUACCCAGAUUUUAAAAAACAAUGAAUAAGUGAAAUGAACUUUUGCUUAUCUUUUGUGUUUUGUCAAUUUCUACAGGAUCAUAAGACAUUACUCUACCCCAAAGAACAGCUGUAGUCAGUUUUGGAAGACAGUGUCCUGGUGGGAGCUCAAGACAGAGCAUAUAUUCGCUUAGGAAAUGUCACUGUGACACUUCCAGUUGUGACUAUAAAGAAGCGUUAAGAGUCUACGUAGUCUACUAGACCAAGCUUUAUCCUGGUACCUAGAAAGGGACCAAACCGAAGCACCACGUCCAGCAGUGACUCAGAGCAGAUGAAAUAUAUCCACGUUCUUUCCUCUCUUCUACGCAUAGUGUCAGUCCUCGAGAUACCACAACAUUUACAAGCUCACGCUCUGUUAAGUGGACCAUGCUGCCACAUAGUGGAAGUCUGAUAAACUCGGUCUUCAUCCAUUGUAUUAAGCUGCACAAAUAUAAGGAUAAAAUAAUGGGGCAAAGCCUUGUGACACAAGACCAUUGGCUCUCAAUAGAGGAAAAACUUCCAGAUUUUGAUACAAUCCAUCCCAUUAUUUCUCCAAUCCAAAUGGCUUCUGUUCAUCCUUUCUAGAAAGCCAAAACUGUUGUCUGCCCAAGAGAACCAUGACUAAAUGUCAUUUAGCUUGAACCUGUGUGAAAAGCAGUGUUGGACAGUCAUCAUGAGUGCAAGGUUGUGAGCACUGAGCUCUGCCACCGCUCUUUAUGCACGUCAUGUAAAGCUUUGUUCUUUAUUUUCCCUAUCUUCCAAUGAUGCUGAUGCCUUUGCUUAUGAAAUGUACUGGUUUAUGCACUAUGUAAAACAAAAAAAGAGCAAGAACAAGAAAACAAUGUAUGAGUUUAGGAAUAAUCACUUUUUAGCAUUAGGAAAUAGCUCUCUGUAUCCUAGGCUGCAGUAGGAGUGACUCUUUUCAAUGGGUUUUUUUCUUCACUGACUUCACUGACCUAAAUUAGCUGUGGAUCAUGCACUUUAUAUGUUAUCUGAUGUUCCUAGGAUCAUGUUCUUAAUCAGUUAGCAGUCAUAAAAAUCGUGAAUGUCUGUAAAAUGUUGUAGAAAUGGUGAACUGUAGCAGAGUAUGGAAAUAAGUAUUGUAAGCACGGACAGCAUCUGAGGCAAGAACUUUUUGGCAACUGUAACUAGCUCCAGUAAAAUGGAUCCUGUUCAGAAUACAAUAACUCUCUAACAAUUCAUUGUUGAAUCCCUCAUUUCCUUCCUAAUUUUUGUUUAAAUUAAUUUUUAUGCUGAUGUGUAUAUGCUCUGAUUCUAUCACAUGAUCUUAUUAAAUCUACAAUGCUG